AUAUGAUACCCAUCCAGACAAGUAGCAAAACUCGAAUAAACGCAUAUGAUAAAAAUACUUCGAACUUAAUAUUACGGAGAGUGGUAAUCUUAAGACAGGUGAAGAUCCUAAAUUGCUUCAAGAGAAUCAAAGCAAUGGAUAAGCAUGAAGCAUCAAGAUCAACAACCAUUAAGUUGACAACAAUCACGGCGUUCAGAGGACGGUUCAAGAAAAUAGACACAAAGAAACCGAAUCACCGCUUGACAUUGAAGCUAAAUGUCCGUACUGUGCAAAUUUCUGUCAGAUAGCGCCGAAAAUCCUCCAUUCAUACUGUAAAAGCUGGACAAGCAAAUUCACAGCACUUUUGACGGCAGCAAGAAGACGUUGAUAUGGCGAUAGCUAAAUAGCCCUUAUUUAAAAACACUAAAGUAUAAUAAACCAAGCUUCUCUGGCGUCAA
This is a long non-coding RNA of Nematostella vectensis (starlet sea anemone), 437 nucleotides long. RefSeq lists it as uncharacterized. The record is from RefSeq and is a predicted model, not a curated record. The transcript is spliced from 2 exons. NCBI's taxonomy places the organism in Eukaryota, Metazoa, Cnidaria, Anthozoa, Actiniaria, Edwardsiidae.